This 253-nucleotide ribosomal RNA is filed under the name uncultured bacterium. RNAcentral's name for it is "partial 16S ribosomal RNA". It matches the Rfam family "Bacterial small subunit ribosomal RNA", at positions 524 to 776 of the family's 1533-position model. The record is from RNAcentral.
UACGUAGGGUGCAAGCGUUAAUCGGAAUUACAGGGCGUAAAGCGUGCGCAGGCGGCUAUGCAAGACAGAUGUGAAAUCCCCGGGCUUAACCUGGGAAUGGCGAUGGUGACUGCAAGGCUAGAGUUUGGCAGAGGGGGGUAGAAUUCCACGUGUAGCAGUGAAAUGCGUAGAGAUGUGGAGGAACACCGAUGGCGAAGGCAGCCCCCUGGGUCAAAACUGACGCUCAUGCACGAAAGCGUGGGGAGCAAACAGG